RNAcentral lists this ribosomal RNA (497 nucleotides) under uncultured bacterium. Its description in RNAcentral is "partial 16S ribosomal RNA". It matches the Rfam family "Bacterial small subunit ribosomal RNA", at positions 28 to 507 of the family's 1533-position model. The record is from RNAcentral.
GAUGAACGCUGGCGGCGUGCCUAAUACAUGCAAGUCGAGCGAACAGAUGAGGAGCUUGCUCCUCUGACGUUAGCGGCGGACGGGUGAGUAACACGUGGAUAACCUACCUAUAAGACUGGGAUAACUUCGGGAAACCGGAGCUAAUACCGGAUAAUAUAUUGAACCGCAUGGUUCAAUAGUGAAAGACGGUUUUGCUGUCACUUAUAGAUGGAUCCGCGCCGCAUUAGCUAGUUGGUAAGGUAACGGCUUACCAAGGCAACGAUGCGUAGCCGACCUGAGAGGGUGAUCGGCCACACGGGAACUGAGACACGGUCAAGACGCCUACGGGAGGCAGCAGUAGGGAAUCUGACGCAAUGGGCGAAAGCCUGACGGAGCAACGCCGCGUGAGUGAUGAAGGUCUUCGGAUCGUAAAACUCUGUUAUUAGGGAAGAACAAAUGUGUAAGUAACUAUGCACGUCUUGACGGUACCUAAUCAGAAAGCCACGGCUAACUACGUG